GGAAGGUGGGGAUGACGUCAAGUCCUCAUGGCCCUUAUGGGUAGGGCUUCACACGUCAUACAAUGGUCGGUACAGAGGGUUGCCAACCCGCGAGGGGGAGCUAAUCCCACAAAGCCGAUCGUAGCCCGGAUCGCAGUCUGCAACUCGACUGCGUGAAGUCGGAAUCGCUAGUAAUCGUGGAUCAGCAUGUCACGGUGAAUACGUUCCCGGGUCUU
RNAcentral lists this ribosomal RNA (215 nucleotides) under uncultured Rhodocyclaceae bacterium. RNAcentral's name for it is "partial 16S ribosomal RNA". It matches the Rfam family "Bacterial small subunit ribosomal RNA", at positions 1168 to 1382 of the family's 1533-position model. The record is from RNAcentral. Lineage: Bacteria; Pseudomonadati; Pseudomonadota; Betaproteobacteria; Rhodocyclales; Rhodocyclaceae.